AGAACUGGAGACUGAAGUUCUCUGUUUAUUCACAAAAUAGGUACAGCUUGAGCAGCUGAAUUCCAGGCUUUCCUGCCAACAAACUAGGGGACCAGCACUAGGAGUGAAAACUGGUAAUUCAUGCCAUUUAGUCCUAGGUUUUG
RNAcentral lists this small RNA (143 nucleotides) under Chelonoidis abingdonii (Abingdon island giant tortoise). RNAcentral's name for it is "TUC338 (ENSCABG00000005729.1)". The record is from RNAcentral. Lineage: Eukaryota; Metazoa; Chordata; Testudines; Testudinidae.